GCACUGCUGAAGAGUCCCAUAAUAGGACGAAACAGCUGUCCAGUGC
This 46-nucleotide non-coding RNA is filed under the name Schistosoma japonicum. The record is from RNAcentral. Lineage: Eukaryota; Metazoa; Platyhelminthes; Trematoda; Strigeidida; Schistosomatidae. RNAcentral also lists the same sequence under 1 other name.